Molecule: long non-coding RNA, 342 nt
Organism: Amphiprion ocellaris (clown anemonefish)
Lineage: Eukaryota; Metazoa; Chordata; Actinopteri; Pomacentridae
Source: Ensembl
CCUGUCCAGGUGAUCCCUGUCUUCACCUUAGUCAGCUGGGAUAGAUUCCAGCCCCCCAUGACCCUAAUGAGGAAUAAGCGCUUAGAGAUCCGGCUCCAUCUGCUGAGGACUCGCCUGGUGCAGGUGGAGGAUCGGAGCAGCUAUCUAGUGUCCAGUGUGAUUCACUCCAUCACCAGAACGAUGCAGUGUUCGAACCUCAUGCAUACCCGGCGCCUGGUGGGAGAUGGAACACCCAGAUGACUGAUGUUCCCUUCAACCUGAGGGAAAUCACUCGUAGUGUGACUGCAGCAAGGUGCAUGCAGAGUCCAUGGAGGGAGAUAGUGUUCACUGUUGGGACUGCCC